This 754-nucleotide ribosomal RNA is filed under the name uncultured bacterium. RNAcentral's name for it is "bacterial SSU rRNA". It matches the Rfam family "Bacterial small subunit ribosomal RNA", at positions 79 to 850 of the family's 1533-position model. The record is from RNAcentral.
AAGCGGGAGCGACUUAGCGGCGGACGGGUGAGUAACGCGUGGGUAACCUGCCCCAUACCGGGGGAUAACGGUUAGAAAUGACCGCUAAUACCGCUUAAGCGCACGAGGCCGCAUGGCCGCGCGCGAAAAACUCCGGUGGUAUGGGAUGGGCCCGCGUCUGAUUAGCUAGUUGGCGGGGUAAAGGCCCACCAAGGCGACGAUCAGUAGCCGACCUGAGAGGGUGGCCGGCCACAUUGGGACUGAGUCACGGCCCAAACUCCUACGGGAGGCAGCAGUGGGGAAUAUUGCGCAAUGGGGGAAACCCUGACGCAGCAACGCCGCGUGAGUGAAGACGUAUCUCGGUAUGUAAAGCUCUAUCAGCGGGGAAGAAGGAAGACGGUACCCGACUAAGAAGCCCCGGCUAACUACGUGCCAGCAGCCGCGGUAAUACGUAGGGGGCGAGCGUUAUCCGGAUUUACUGGGUGUAAAGGGAGCGUAGACGGCGUCGCAAGUCUGAAGUGAAAGCCCGUGGCUCAACCGCGGAACCGCUUUGGAAACUGCGUGGCUGGAGUGCUGGAGAGGUAAGCGGAAUUCCUGGUGUAGCGGUGAAAUGCGUAGAUAUCAGGAGGAACACCGGUGGCGAAGGCGGCUUACUGGACAGUGACUGACGUUGAGGCUCGAAAGCGUGGGGAGCGAACAGGAUUAGAUACCCUGGUAGUCCACGCGGUAAACGAUGAGUGCUAGGUGUCGGGGGGCAAAGCCCCUCGGUGCCGCC